RNAcentral lists this long non-coding RNA (1171 nucleotides) under Sus scrofa (pig). RNAcentral's name for it is "lncRNA (ENSSSCG00070017840.1)". The record is from RNAcentral. Lineage: Eukaryota; Metazoa; Chordata; Mammalia; Artiodactyla; Suidae.
CCCUGGGGCUGUCCUCCCAGAGGUCUGCUCCUUCCAGUGCCAUGACCCAACAUGUGCCUAUGGGCUGUCCCCCACAGGCCCUCUCUUUCUACCUUCAUGUCCCCUCCUGUAUACCUGAUUGUCCUCAACAGGCCUACUCCUUUCAUCCUCUGUGUUCCCUCCUCUCCUACCCACUUGUCCUCCACAGACCUGCUCCUUCCACCCCAGGGUGUCCCCUACUAGUACUUCCUAUACCUGUGUUUGCCUUUUUCCAUGUUCAUCUUGGCCUGGGAGUCCCCUGUGGCCCCACAGACUAUCCUGACUGCUUGUUCCUUUUCAUAGGCCUGAAUGAAGAGGCCAAACUGUUUCUACAGAAUCACUCUGGCCUCCAGCUGAAAUGGAUGAUGCUCCUAAGUAGGAGGACUCGGGCCAUCCUCAGGAACCUGCCCUAUGGGAACUUUAUCUGCCCCCAGGCCUGCAUUCUGCAGGUUUUCCAGGCUUCCAGAUGGCAUCUAUCCGUCGAGAAUUUACACCUGUCUGAGGUCCCAGCUGCAGUUUCUAUUCCCGCCAUGGAAGACCUGAAAACACAGGACUGGAGUUUGGGAUAAAGGCCUGACCUGGGCAGGAUGGUUCUUCCAGAGGGUGGACUCAGGGGCUCUCUCCCAUAUGUUCCUUUUCAGGGUAAGACUAUGUUUUUGGCUCUCAUCAUGGGGGUGGGGGGAUGCCCUGGUGGCCUAAGGGAUGGGUCACUCUUUCUCUGCAGACUCUUAGCUUUUCUUCUCAUUGUCAGAGGGUGGGGAUUAAACCAGGGGCCUCUCUUUCUCCUAAACCCUCCUCAGAUACCUCUCCUUCACCUCUGUACAGUGUUUUCUGUCACUUGAAGAGAAGAUGAGCUAGAUUUUGGAAGGGAGAAUGGACGGCAGCCUCCCUUUCCUCAGCAUCAUAAACUCUUCCUGUGUCUGUAAUAAGGCACUGUGUACACUGUUGUGGAGAGUGGGUCCAACAGCAAUUGCAUAGGAACUGAUAGCACUCAGGGAGGAUGGGGGCCUAGAAAUGAGGCUAUGAGUAUCCUCUUGCCUCUUGGUGUGGGGAGCUGGGUCCAGGCUAUAGGAGCCACCAUCCCUGUCUGGAGACUGGACAUGAGUAAGCUGGCAUAGCUGCUUCAUUUGCACUUUCUCUCCUUCCGUCCUUU